This 86-nucleotide non-coding RNA is filed under the name Candidatus Kentrum sp. FM. Lineage: Bacteria; Pseudomonadati; Pseudomonadota; Gammaproteobacteria. The record is from RNAcentral.
UCCAAUGGCGGGCCGUGCGGGCAGCCUUCGGGCUGGCCGGUUUUCCUUUUGUCCGGUAUUGCUACCCCGUACAGCCCGCCUCCCUU